GACAAUAAGCAAAGAGGGACAGCUGUAGAAGCCCAAAAUUUGCCCACAAAACCCAAACCCAUUUACAAUCCAAAAUUUACCUAGCCCACCACCCCAAAUUACCCAGACCCGAAUACAAAUAACCCAAAACCCAGUUACAACCAGACCCACUACCCAAUUACAAUAACUAAACCUACCCAAACCCAAUACUCAAAACUCGCCCAAACUUAAAAGGCUCAAUUUUUGACCCAACUCUAGACUUAGAGUUUAAAAAAAAUGAAACCCUAAACUACCUCAACGUCGUAACCACCCUUGACCGUCUUCCAUGGCCACCUGCUCCACCUGCCAUACUCUGCAAGACAAAGAGAACACGCAAACAGCAAAAUCUAGGGAAACAGACAGUGUAAAAAAUGGCUAUAAAAAGCCAAACAAAGUAUUGUAAAUGGAUUCGACAGUUCAAACAAAAAAGGGCAAUAAAAUAGCAUUCGAUUUUCGAAACCAAACAUCGAUUCCAUCAAUAUUCAAGUAAGAGAAUAUAACCAAAUCGAACCCAAUAUCAGAGAUUGAAGCACAGAAAGCAUAAACCUAAGGUGAUUUUUUUCCCAUUUUAGUUUUGUUUUUGGACCAAUUUUCUCACACAUAUAUAUCAAAACAUAAAAAAAUAUAAAAUAAAAAUAAAAAAAUAAAAAAUUUUACCUUUUCCGGUCACCGUGCACGGUGACCGGCCCAUGGCCGGAAAUCCCCUCCCCCUCCAUUCUCUCCUUUUUUUUUUCUUUCUCUCCUCAC
Molecule: long non-coding RNA, 765 nt
Filed under: Gossypium barbadense (sea-island cotton)
Lineage: Eukaryota; Viridiplantae; Streptophyta; Magnoliopsida; Malvales; Malvaceae
Description: long non-coding RNA (GBAR_LNC007506)
Source: RNAcentral